Molecule: unclassified non-coding RNA, 1598 nt
Filed under: uncultured fungus
Lineage: Eukaryota; Fungi
Description: sequence contains 18S rRNA gene, ITS1, 5.8S rRNA gene, ITS2, 28S rRNA gene
Rfam family: Eukaryotic large subunit ribosomal RNA (bases 502-1598)
Source: RNAcentral
GGAAGGAUCAUUAGCAAACACGAUGGCAACCCUUACGGGCCCAUUUAAAUAGUCAUCAAUGCCCCUAAAAAGGCAGUUCUAGAGCCACAGGGUUUCCUAGGCUCGUUGUAUUAUGCGUAUUUAAAAAAAUUAUACAAGGUAUGGCGGUGGAUGAAUCGGUUCAGAUAGCGAUGAAGAUCGUAGCAAAAUGCGUUAAUAAGUGCGAACUGCAGUACACUGCGAGUACUUCAUCAUUGAAUGCACGCUGCACCUACCGGGCUUGCCUGGUAGGUAUGUUUGUUUGAGUUGCGACAAGAUACAAAUUAAUCCCUACGGGGGUAUUGGCAGGCUUGAGAGUGAGACCCAAGCUGUUUAAACUCGUGUACAGGAGCCUCGAUGGUCCUCCGAAAGGAUGCGGCCGCUUGGUAGCCCUGCGCGCAGCCCGCUAGUGGUAAUAACUCCGUUCGAAUGAAAGGAGACGGUUAGCUAGGGGGUGGUCAAAAGACUACUUUUUAACAAAUUCGCACUCAAAUCAAGCAUGACUACCCUUGGAAUUUAAGCAUAUAAUUACGGGGAGGAAAAGAAACUAACAAGGAUUCGCCUAGUAACUGCGAGUGAAGAGCGAAGAGCCCAUCCUGAAUCCUAGCUAUUAACUUAGUAAUGGAGUUGUAGGAUAAGGUCGAUCUUUUUGGGGCGUUAGGCGGUUCGAAGUUCGCUGGAAAGCGAUCCCACAGAGGGUGAAAGGCCUGUAGGACUGUCUGACGUGUCAUUAUAAAGGUUGCACCAUGAGUCGUACUUUUUGAGAGUAAAGUACUAAGCGGUGAUAUGCAUCAUCGAAGGCUAGAAUAUUGAUCUGAAACCGAUAGCAAACAAGUAGCGUGAGCGAAAUUUGAAAAGAACUUUGGAAAGAGAGUUAAAAGUACCUGAAACCGCCAUAUCGAAAGGAUUGAACUGAGCACCGGGUGACGUAACAAAUUCAAGUUCCUGAAAGUCUCGAGUUGGUGGAUCACGGUUGUGAUGAUCGGUGAAGCUGGCGAAGGGAUUGUAGGGGAUUGCACUUUUGUUGCGUCUUGGCACUACCAUCCUCGUACUAGGCAGAAGCUAAUAUUCACGGUAGCAAUUAAUCUUGUGAAGGAGUGUUGUGAUGGCUAGUAUGGGGGUGAGGGACUCGAAAGAGUACUAGUGGGCGGCUUCCUUGGGCCAAGCUCCAGGUGACUGCGGCGUGUGACUCAGUUUACUGGGUUGUACAAUGUAAGACCUACGAGUCGAAACCCUGAAGCCCGCUUAGGUAGUGUAAGCGAAGUUGAAUCUCCCGUCUUGAAACACGGACCAAGGAGUCUAAUUCUAGUGCAAGUCGAUGGCUUUAAAAGCUGGUUGGCGAAAUGAAAGUGAUACCUCUCAAGGCAUUAGCCCGCAGGAGGAACCUACCGUCGCUUCGCGCUUCGGUUUGAGUUAGAGCACUUGGAUUAGGACCCGAAAGAUAGCGAACUUUGCUUGCACAGAUUGAAGGCAGGGGAAACCCUGCUGGAGGAUCGUAGCGUUGUUGACGUGCAAAUCACUCGUCAGAUGUGAGUAAAGCGGCGAAAGACUAAUCGAGCUGUCUAGUAGCUGGUUCCGUC